This 903-nucleotide ribosomal RNA is filed under the name Pseudogymnoascus pannorum. RNAcentral's name for it is "partial large subunit ribosomal RNA". It matches the Rfam family "Eukaryotic large subunit ribosomal RNA", at positions 38 to 960 of the family's 3401-position model. The record is from RNAcentral. Lineage: Eukaryota; Fungi; Ascomycota; Leotiomycetes; Thelebolales; Thelebolaceae.
GCAUAUCAAUAAGCGGAGGAAAAGAAACCAACAGGGAUUACCUCAGUAACGGCGAAGUGAAGCGGUAACAGCUCAAAUUUGAAAUCUGGCCUCACGGUCCGAGUUGUAAUUUGUAGAGGAUGCUUCGAGCAUGGUCUGGCCUAAGUUCCUUGGAACAGGACGUCAUAGAGGGUGAGAAUCCCGUAUGCGGCCAGGUGCCUACGCUCAUGUGAAGCUCCUUCGACGAGUCGAGUUGUUUGGGAAUGCAGCUCAAAAUGGGUGGUAAAUUUCAUCUAAAGCUAAAUAUUGGCCAGAGACCGAUAGCGCACAAGUAGAGUGAUCGAAAGAUGAAAAGCACUUUGGAAAGAGAGUUAAACAGUACGUGAAAUUGUUGAAAGGGAAGCGCUUGCAACCAGACUUGCGCGCGGCCGAUCAUCCGGUGUUCUCACCGGUGCACUCGGCCGUGCUCAGGCCAGCAUCGGUUUUGGCGGCUGGAUAAAGGCCCUAGGAAUGUAGCUCCUCUCGGGGAGUGUUAUAGCCUAGGGUGCAAUGCAGCCUGCUGGGACCGAGGACCGCGCUUCGGCUAGGAUGCUGGCGUAAUGGUUGUAAGCGGCCCGUCUUGAAACACGGACCAAGGAGUCUAACAUCUAUGCGAGUGUUUGGGUGUCAAACCCAUACGCGUAAUGAAAGUGAACGGAGGUGAGAACCCUUAAGGGUGCAUCAUCGACCGGUCCUGAAGUUUACGGAAGGAUCUGAGUAAGAGCAUAGCUGUUGGGACCCGAAAGAUGGUGAACUAUGCCUGAAUAGGGUGAAGCCAGAGGAAACUCUGGUGGAGGCUCGCAGCGGUUCUGACGUGCAAAUCGAUCGUCAAAUUUGGGUAUAGGGGGCGAAAGACUAAUCGAACCAUCUAGUAGCUGGUCCUGC